AGCGUACACGGUGGAUGCCCUGGCAGUCAGAGGCGAUGAAGGACGUGCUAAUCUGCGAUAAGCGUCGGUAAGGUGAUAUGAACCGUUAUAACCGGCGAUUUCCGAAUGGGGAAACCCAGUGUGAUUCGUCACACUAUCAUUAACUGAAUCCAUAGGUUAAUGAGGCGAACCGGGGGAACUGAAACAUCUAAGUACCCCGAGGAAAAGAAAUCAACCGAGAUUCCCCCAGUAGCGGCGAGCGAACGGGGAGCAGCCCAGAGCCUGAAUCAGUGUGUGUGUUAGUGGAAGCGUCUGGAAAGGCGCGCGAUACAGGGUGACAGCCCCGUACACAAAAAUGCACAUACUGUGAGCUCGAUGAGUAGGGCGGGACACGUGGUAUCCUGUCUGAAUAUGGGGGGACCAUCCUCCAAGGCUAAAUACUCCUGACUGACCGAUAGUGAACCAGUACCGUGAGGGAAAGGCGAAAAGAACCCCGGCGAGGGGAGUGAAAAAGAACCUGAAACCGUGUACGUACAAGCAGUGGGAGCACAGAGCAAUCUGUGUGACUGCGUACCUUUUGUAUAAUGGGUCAGCGACUUAUAUUCUGUAGCAAGGUUAACCGAAUAGGGGAGCCGAAGGGAAACCGAGUCUUAACUGGGCGUUAAGUUGCAGGGUAUAGACCCGAAACCCGGUGAUCUAGCCAUGGGCAGGUUGAAGGUUGGGUAACACUAACUGGAGGACCGAACCGACUAAUGUUGAAAAAUUAGCGGAUGACUUGUGGCUGGGGGUGAAAGGCCAAUCAAACCGGGAGAUAGCUGGUUCUCCCCGAAAGCUAUUUAGGUAGCGCCUCGUGAAUUCAUCUCCGGGGGUAGAGCACUGUUUCGGCAAGGGGGUCAUCCCGACUUACCAACCCGAUGCAAACUGCGAAUACCGGAGAAUGUUAUCACGGGAGACACACGGCGGGUGCUAACGUCCGUCGUGAAGAGGGAAACAACCCAGACCGCCAGCUAAGGUCCCAAAGUCAUGGUUAAGUGGGAAACGAUGUGGGAAGGCCCAGACAGCCAGGAUGUUGGCUUAGAAGCAGCCAUCAUUUAAAGAAAGCGUAAUAGCUCACUGGUCGAGUCGGCCUGCGCGGAAGAUGUAACGGGGCUAAACCAUGCACCGAAGCUGCGGCAGCGACGCUUAUGCGUUGUUGGGUAGGGGAGCGUUCUGUAAGCCUGCGAAGGUGUGCUGUGAGGCAUGCUGGAGGUAUCAGAAGUGCGAAUGCUGACAUAAGUAACGAUAAAGCGGGUGAAAAGCCCGCUCGCCGGAAGACCAAGGGUUCCUGUCCAACGUUAAUCGGGGCAGGGUGAGUCGACCCCUAAGGCGAGGCCGAAAGGCGUAGUCGAUGGGAAACAGGUUAAUAUUCCUGUACUUGGUGUUACUGCGAAGGGGGGACGGAGAAGGCUAUGUUGGCCGGGCGACGGUUGUCCCGGUUUAAGCGUGUAGGCUGGUUUUCCAGGCAAAUCCGGAAAAUCAAGGCUGAGGCGUGAUGACGAGGCACUACGGUGCUGAAGCAACAAAUGCCCUGCUUCCAGGAAAAGCCUCUAAGCAUCAGGUAACAUCAAAUCGUACCCCAAACCGACACAGGUGGUCAGGUAGAGAAUACCAAGGCGCUUGAGAGAACUCGGGUGAAGGAACUAGGCAAAAUGGUGCCGUAACUUCGGGAGAAGGCACGCUGAUAUGUAGGUGAAGUCCCUCGCGGAUGGAGCUGAAAUCAGUCGAAGAUACCAGCUGGCUGCAACUGUUUAUUAAAAACACAGCACUGUGCAAACACGAAAGUGGACGUAUACGGUGUGACGCCUGCCCGGUGCCGGAAGGUUAAUUGAUGGGGUCAGCGCAAGCGAAGCUCUUGAUCGAAGCCCCGGUAAACGGCGGCCGUAACUAUAACGGUCCUAAGGUAGCGAAAUUCCUUGUCGGGUAAGUUCCGACCUGCACGAAUGGCGUAAUGAUGGCCAGGCUGUCUCCACCCGAGACUCAGUGAAAUUGAACUCGCUGUGAAGAUGCAGUGUACCCGCGGCAAGACGGAAAGACCCCGUGAACCUUUACUAUAGCUUGACACUGAACAUUGAGCCUUGAUGUGUAG
RNAcentral lists this ribosomal RNA (2104 nucleotides) under Escherichia coli. RNAcentral describes it as "bacterial LSU rRNA". It matches the Rfam family "Bacterial large subunit ribosomal RNA", at positions 14 to 2141 of the family's 2925-position model. The record is from RNAcentral. Lineage: Bacteria; Pseudomonadati; Pseudomonadota; Gammaproteobacteria; Enterobacterales; Enterobacteriaceae.